GAGAGUUUGAUCCUGGCUCAGGAUGAACGCUAGCUACAGGCUUAACACAUGCAAGUCGAGGGGCAGCAUGGUCUUAGCUUGCUAAGGCCGAUGGCGACCGGCGCACGGGUGAGUAACGCGUAUCCAACCUGCCUUACACUCUUGGACAGCCUUCUGAAAGGGAGAUUAAUACAAGAUGUUAUCAUGAGUAAGCAUUUUCGCAUGAUUAAAGGUUUACCGGUGUAAGAUGGGGAUGCGUUCCAUUAGAUAGUAGGCGGGGUAACGGCCCACCUAGUCUUCGAUGGAUAGGGGUUCUGAGAGGAAGGUCCCCCACAUUGGAACUGAGACACGGUCCAAACUCCUACGGGAGGCAGCAGUGAGGAAUAUUGGUCAAUGGACGAGAGUCUGAACCAGCCAAGUAGCGUGAAGGAUGAAGGUUCUAUGGAUUGUAAACUUCUUUUAUACGGGAAUAAACGGAUCCACGUGUGGAUUUUUGCAUGUACCGUAUGAAUAAGGAUCGGCUAACUCCGUGCCAGCAGCCGCGGUAAUACGGAGGAUCCGAGCGUUAUCCGGAUUUAUUGGGUUUAAAGGGAGCGUAGAUGGGUUGUUAAGUCAGUUGUGAAAGUUUGCGGCUCAACCGUAAAAUUGCAAUUGAUACUGGCAGUCUUGAGUACAGUUGAGGUAGGCGGAAUUCGUGGUGUAGCGGUGAAAUGCUUAGAUAUCACGAAGAACUCCGAUUGCGAAGGCAGCUUACUAACCUGUAACUGACAUUGAUGCUCGAAAGUGUGGGUAUCAAACAGGAUUAGAUACCCUGGUAGUCCACACGGUAAACGAUGAAUACUCGCUGUAGGCGAUAUACAGUCUGCGGCCAAGCGAAAGCAUUAAGUAUUCCACCUGGGGAGUACGCCGGCAACGGUGAAACUCAAAGGAAUUGACGGGGGCCCGCACAAGCGGAGGAACAUGUGGUUUAAUUCGAUGAUACGCGAGGAACCUUACCCGGGCUUAAAUUGCAACCGAAUAUGGCGGAAACGCUAUAGCUAGCAAUAGCGGUUGUGAAGGUGCUGCAUGGUUGUCGUCAGCUCGUGCCGUGAGGUGUCGGCUUAAGUGCCAUAACGAGCGCAACCCUUGCCGAUAGUUACUAACAGGUCAUGCUGAGGACUCUGUCGGGACUGCCAUCGUAAGAUGUGAGGAAGGUGGGGAUGACGUCAAAUCAGCACGGCCCUUACGUCCGGGGCUACACACGUGUUACAAUGGGGGGUACAGAGGGCUGCUACCACGCAAGUGGAUGCCAAUCCCAAAAACCUCUCUCAGUUCGGAUUGAAGUCUGCAACCCGACUUCAUGAAGCUGGAUUCGCUAGUAAUCGCGCAUCAGCCACGGCGCGGUGAAUACGUUCCCGGGCCUUGUACACACCGCCCGUCAAGCCAUGGGAGCCGGGGGUACCUGAAGUGCGUAACCGCAAGGAGCGCCCUAGGGUAAAACUGGUGACUGGGGCUAAGUCGUAACAAGGUAGCCG
Molecule: ribosomal RNA, 1493 nt
Filed under: uncultured bacterium
Lineage: Bacteria
Description: bacterial SSU rRNA
Rfam family: Bacterial small subunit ribosomal RNA
Source: RNAcentral